RNAcentral lists this ribosomal RNA (279 nucleotides) under uncultured bacterium. RNAcentral describes it as "partial 16S ribosomal RNA". The record is from RNAcentral.
CUGCUGCCUCCCGUAGGAGUCUGGUCCGUGUCUCAGUACCAGUGUGGGGGGCCUUCCUCUCAGAACCCCUACGCAUCGUCGCCUCGGUGGGCCGUUACCCCGCCGACUAGCUAAUGCGCCGCAUGCCCAUCCGUAGCCGGAAUCGCUUCCUUUAAACCCGAGGAGAUGCCUCCUCGGGUUGUUACGCGGUAUUAGACGGAAUUUCUUCCGCUUAUCCCCCUGCUACGGGCAGGUUUCAUACGUGUUACUCACCCGUGCGCCGGUCGCCGGCGGGAGUUA